RNAcentral lists this ribosomal RNA (253 nucleotides) under uncultured bacterium. RNAcentral describes it as "partial 16S ribosomal RNA". It matches the Rfam family "Bacterial small subunit ribosomal RNA", at positions 524 to 776 of the family's 1533-position model. The record is from RNAcentral.
GACAGAGGGUGCAACCGUUGUUCGGAAUUACUGGGCGUAAAGCGCGUGUAGGCGGCUCGGCAAGUCGGAUGUGAAAUCCCUCGGCUUAACCAAGGAAGUGCAUCCGAAACUGCAGUGCUUGAGUACUAAAGAGGAUCGCGGAAUUCCCGGUGUAGAGGUGAAAUUCGUAGAUAUCGGGAGGAACACCAGUGGCGAAGGCGGCGAUCUGGGUAGAUACUGACGCUGAGGUGCGAAAGCGUGGGGAGCAAACAGG